This 587-nucleotide ribosomal RNA is filed under the name uncultured bacterium. RNAcentral's name for it is "partial 16S ribosomal RNA". It matches the Rfam family "Bacterial small subunit ribosomal RNA", at positions 355 to 1375 of the family's 1533-position model. The record is from RNAcentral.
UGGGGAAUUUUGGACAAUGGGCGCAAGCCUGAUCCAGCCAUGCCGCGUGCGGGAAGAAGGCCUUCGGGUUGUAAACCGCUUUUGUCAGGGAAGAAAUCUUCUGAGUUAAUACCUCGGGAGGAUGACGGUACCUGAAGAAUAAGCACCGGCUAACUACGUGCCAGCAGCCGCGGUAAUACGUAGGGUGCAAGCGUUAAUCGGAAUUACUGGGCGUAAAGCGUGCGCAGGCGGUUUUGUAAGACAGAGGUGAAAUCCCCGGGCUCAACCUGGGAACUGCCUUUGUGACUGCAAGGCUUGAGUGCGGCAGAGGGGGAUGGAAUUCCGCGUGUAGCAGUGAAAUGCGUAGAUAUGCGGAGGAACACCGAUGGCGAAGGCAAUCCCCUGGGCCUGCACUGACGCCCAUGCACGAAAGCGUGGGGAGCAAACAGGAUUAGAUACCCUGGUAGUCCACGCCCUAAACGAUGUCAAACUGGUUGUUGGGAAGGUUCCUUCUCAGUAACCGUAGCUAACGCGUGAAGUUGGACCGCCUGGGGAGUACGGCCGCAAGGUUGAAACUCAAAGAAUUGACGGGGUCAUAGCUGUUUCCU